Molecule: ribosomal RNA, 301 nt
Filed under: uncultured bacterium
Lineage: Bacteria
Description: partial 16S ribosomal RNA
Rfam family: Bacterial small subunit ribosomal RNA
Source: RNAcentral
CAGUAGCCGCGGUAAUACGUAGGGUGCGAGCGUUAAUCGGAAUUACUGGGCGUAAAGCGUGCGCAGGCGGUUCGUUAAGACAGAUGUGAAAUCCCCGGGCUUAACCUGGGAACUGCGUUUGUGACUGGCGAGCUAGAGUAUGGCAGAGGGGGGUAGAAUUCCACGUGUAGCAGUGAAAUGCGUAGAGAUGUGGAGGAAUACCGAUGGCGAAGGCAGCCCCCUGGGCCAAUACUGACGCUCAUGCACGAAAGCGUGGGGAGCAAACAGGAUUAGAUACCCCUGUAGUCCCUGUCUCUUAUAC